CGCAAGCCUGACGGAGCAAUACCGCGUGAGGGAGGAAGGCCUUUGGGUUGUAAACCUCUUUUCUUAAGGAAGAAGAUCUGACGGUACUUAAGGAAUCAGCAUCGGCUAACUCCGUGCCAGCAGCCGCGGUAAUACGGAGGAUGCAAGCGUUAUCCGGAAUUAUUGGGCGUAAAGCGUCCGCAGGCGGCACUAUAAGUCUGCUGUCAAAGACCGCAGCUCAACUGCGGAAAGGCAGUGGAAACUGUAGAGCUAGAGUACGGUAGGGGUAGAGGGAAUUCCCAGUGUAGCGGUGAAAUGCGUAGAGAUUGGGAAGAACACCAGUGGCGAAAGCGCUCUACUGGGCCGUAACUGACGCUCAGGGACGAAAGCUAGGGGAGCG
RNAcentral lists this ribosomal RNA (379 nucleotides) under uncultured cyanobacterium. RNAcentral describes it as "bacterial SSU rRNA". It matches the Rfam family "Bacterial small subunit ribosomal RNA", at positions 376 to 770 of the family's 1533-position model. Lineage: Bacteria; Bacillati; Cyanobacteriota. The record is from RNAcentral.